Molecule: long non-coding RNA, 595 nt
Organism: Cucumis melo (muskmelon)
Lineage: Eukaryota; Viridiplantae; Streptophyta; Magnoliopsida; Cucurbitales; Cucurbitaceae
Exons: 3
Source: RefSeq, a predicted model, not a curated record
GUCUAAGUCGUUUCUACAACGCGACAACACGAGCUUGCUGAAGAACGAGGUCAGCCAGUUGAUCAUCUGGAAAUGUUUAGGAAAACACACGCUCAGAGUGGUCAAUUUGUUUGUUUAUACGUUACGUUUGCUUAUACGUACCAUUCCAUUCUCAUCCCACCACCCCAGAGAGUUCUCAACCACUCUCUGGUGACAAGAUAUGCAAAACCGUUUUGGAUAGAUGAUCGGGCUACUCAAAAGAUCUUGGUUGAAGUCCCAAGACCAAGUCCCGCAAGAGCAAUGCUAGCAGUUCUUCGACCUCAUGUUCACAAUCUAGGAAGAUCGAAGAAACUAAAGUCCUAAUUGAACAAGAAUUGAACUUUAAGAAGCUAAACACAUGAUUGAAGAGUAAAGAAGGACUUCGGAGCUACAUGCACAACAAAUGGAAGAAAAUUCCCGACAAAUAGAACAAAUGAAGAAGAUGAUUGAAGAAAUGAGUCGGCCAUAGAGGAGACCUUGAGCACUUGCGGUGGGAAUAUGGCGUACACACCCAUUAGGAGAUCAAUGUACUUUUUUCUUUUAUAUGUAAUUUCUUUAGAGCAUUCAAACUAGUUAG